UACGGAAGGCAGCAGUGGGGAAUAUUGCACAAUGGGCGCAAGCCUGAUGCAGCCAUGCCGCGUGUAUGAAGAAGGCCUUCGGGUUGUAAAGUACUUUCAGCGGGGAGGAAGGCGGUGAAGUUAAUAGCUUCACCGAUUGACGUUACCCGCAGAAGAAGCACCGGCUAACUCCGUGCCAGCAGCCGCGGUAAUACGGAGGGUGCAAGCGUUAAUCGGAAUUACUGGGCGUAAAGCGCACGCAGGCGGUCUGUCAAGUCGGAUGUGAAAUCCCCCGGGCUUAACCUGGGAACUGCAUUCGAAACUGGCAGGCUAGAGUCUUGUAGAGGGGGUAGAAUUCCAGGUGUAGCGGUGAAAUGCGUAGAGAUCUGGAGGAAUACCGGUGGCGAAGGCGGCCCCUGGGACAAAGCUGACGCUCAGGUGCGAAAGCGUGGGGAGCAAACGAGGAUUAGGAUAC
This 454-nucleotide ribosomal RNA is filed under the name uncultured bacterium. RNAcentral describes it as "bacterial SSU rRNA". It matches the Rfam family "Bacterial small subunit ribosomal RNA", at positions 340 to 785 of the family's 1533-position model. The record is from RNAcentral.